GAAGAAGCACACCAGCGCCACUAGCAGGAAUUGGUGCCGAACGAGCUCGUCUUCAGAGCUCCUUGAAUCGUGUAUGUUGCUGGUAUCCGGCGGCAGUGGAGGCCUCCUGCUCACACCCUUUUCGACUGCACUUGCCAACGGCUGCGUGCGUGGACGUCCAUUGGUGGCGGUGGCUGAUCAACCAACACAAAGCCAUCAUACGAAUGCGCAGAGGCAAGAGCGAAGUGGCACUUGACUCUUACACAGACCGAACCCGCGUGGACGUUGCCCGGCUCCCGCGCGCGCGUGCGUGUGUGUGUGUGCCCGCGCCUACUGUGUGCGGGAGAAUCGCGAGGUGCAAGUGCAUGCGCGCACGAGCCUGUAUGCGAGUGCUCCGUGUCUCUGACCUGCUGCCCCCUUUUUUAGUUGUUUUUUUUUUAUUUGUUUCGCACACUGGCAACUCGCGGCAUCGCGUCUCGACACGCUUGCCACCUCCUUCCGCAUCCUGCCGCUGCUGUUGGUGCGGCUCCCUUUUUCUUUUCAGAGUAGCGCACGCGCUUCGCCUCUUCUGCUUUUCUUGUGUGAGUCUGCUCGUCCUCAGCGCCCCGUGCACCGAGCCGUUCUGCGGGUCUCGCGCCCUGCGCCUUCUUCCGUGUGGCUAUUGUUCCUCUCCGCUGGCCUCUGCACGCAGGUGCUUCUCUCAUUCGCACCGCCCUUAUUCCCCUUGUGCCCAUCAGCCACUGCCGCCCUCUGUCCCUCCACGUUGCUUCGCGGUCGCUGUCGCAGUGGUGGUAGUGGUUGGCGUGGUGCCUUCGCCUUAUUCUUUUUUCUUUGCCCUGCCGUCGCGCUGACGCUUCCACGGCUAGAUCUUAAUCAUGCAUGACCCUGGCGCCUUCGAUGGCUCGAGCCAGGAGAGGCUUAUGCGCCUCUCGCUGAAUUCCAGUGCUACUUUCAAGCUCGGCUAUGGGAGGCUCUCUGCUGCCGAUGAUGCACCGCACGACCCCCUCGAUCCAGUGCAGCCGACCGAGGGCGAGGUGGUGGCUGGUGCCGACCAGUACGACACACCCGAUCCGGACGCGAGUCUGCACGCUGCGCUGUUGUACGUGGAGCCUCCUGCACCGGCUGCUGCGGGCGCGUCAUGGGACGGCUUUGGCGCCUACGACGGAGAGGACGAGGAUGAAGGCGAGGCGAUGGAGCCGGUGACCACCGCCGUGCACCCGCUUGGCGGCACCGAGGCGUCUAAUCGUAGCUGGUACUCACCCUCGAAGCGGCGCGCCGGCUUGGGCGCGAUGCGUCGCAACGAGCUGAUGAGCCGAACUGUGAACCUUAGCAGAUUAGACAUGCAUAUGUCUAGUAAUCUCUCAUUGGGGGCCAGUAGGACGAGCACUGUGUCAGAGAAGGACACCUCCACGAACAGCGGCGGUAAGGGGUCCCCAGAUGACAGCGACAGCUUCAGUGAUACCGAUGAGGUGCCCGCGCGCGCCUCUUUCGUGGACCAGCUGCUCGCUGUAGUAGAACGCUCGACGCGAGAGCUCUGGCGGCGUAAGUUGGACCUGCUUUUAGACAUCACCGUGCCACUGAUCUUCGUGGUCGUGUCCAUUGCGUUGUGGGCCAUCUGGGGCACGCAGUACAACGAGGAGAUGACUUACGUUUCCACGAAUCUGGAGUCUGGCAACAUCGGUGCGGCCGGUCUUCGUGCACCGGCUACCUACGACUUCACGUGCAUGAGGCAGCCAGAAGGGACGCCAACGUUGGCUGACUUCACACGCUGCAAGCCCAUGGACUACACCACCUGCGAUUCUGUCACGGGGGAGUGCAAGACGCAGAGCAUCAUCACCUUCAUCUGCGAUGGCGACUCGAGCAUGCUUCCGCUGCCGGAGGAAUACGAGAUAUGCCGUGUAUCGUACGACUGGGAGGAGCUCAUCACUGCAGGUUUAAGCUACUACUGGCGAUGGCUGUCAGCUGUCCCCACCCUCGACAUGCUCAUAGGUCUCCAGUGGACGGCUCUGUCUGCGUACCGCUAUCUACUCCCUUUCAUCGCGAAAACGAUGGCCGGGCUCGCCGCCAACACACGCUACAGUGCGAUUCUGUGCAGCGGCCAUUUGUACUUCGUAGGUGAGCGUGGCGUGACCUCGGAGCUAAUUGCGUACAUGAACAGGACCUCUGGGCUAUUUCAAUACGUGACGGACUUUCAGGUGUACAGCAGCGUCGCGGAGGCUCGCAGCGCUGCGAGGCGCGGUGGCCGUGUAUGGGCGAUCGUGGAGCUGCGGCAGAUCGGCGAGGCGGGGCUGGAUCUUGUGCUGCAUAUGAACAACUCCGCCCUGCCGUCGUUUGCCACCACGUACGACGACGCGUACAGCGGCGGGGUGCUGUUUGACACGGCGGAGCUGUACAUGCUAUCCGGCUUCAACACGCUACAGCAGCUGGUGUCGGAGUUCUACCUGAACACAUUCCACGACGCGCAGAUGAACAUGACGCAGAUGAUGGCGGCCACGGCCACUCCAGAGUACAAGCGCGUGCCGCUGAUGGCGCAGGCGCGACAGGUACUACCGCUCAUCUUCUCCCUUGCCUUUCUGUACAGCGUGUCGCAGCAGACGAAGCGCAUCGUGCUGGAGAAGGAGCUGCGGAUCCGCGAGGCCAUGCAGAUCAUGGGGCUGAAGCAGUGGACGCUCUACGCGAGCGAGCUCAUUGUGCAGAUGGCGAUAUUUGUGCCGACGUGCGUGCUGUGCGUGGUGAUGCUGAAGCUGACGUACGUGACGAAGAGCGACCCGCUGAUUCUGUUCCUCAUCUUCUGCCUCUUCGCCCUCACGACGAUCCCGCUGUCCGGCAUGAUCGCUGCUUUCUUCAGCAAGUCGCGCCUGGCGUCGCUGGUAGCGCCGGUGGUGUACUUUAUCCUUGUGAUCCCGAUGUUCGCCAUGACCAACGCGCAGGGCUUGAUCGUGACGUGGUUCUCUGUGUUCUCGCCGACGGGGUUUGCUGCGGCGCUGAAUGUGUUCCUACUGCACGAGUCUGGGAGCGGGUGCGGCGCGGCGGAGAUGAUGUCGAGUCGCGACAACCCGACGCUGGCAGUUGUGCUUGUGAUGCUGGCGGUGGACUGCUGCAUGUACUACGCGCUGAUGCUGUACCUGGACGCGGUCCUGCCGAAGCAGUGGGGUACGCGCAAGCACCCGCUCUUCUUCAUCAUGGAGCCGGUGCGGUGGUUUUCUGGACCGAGCGCGCGCGUGCUGGAGGGCGGCGCCGACGGGCGCGCCGAGAACGGCGUGUUCGAGGAGAUCACAGAAGGCGGCGCCGACUACGCCGUUUGCGCCACUGGGCUGCGCAAGGAGUACUCGCGCGGCGGCAAGAGGUUCGUUGCGGUGAACAACCUGUACUGGGGGAUGCGCGAGGGCGAGAUCUCUGUGCUGCUGGGGCACAACGGCGCCGGCAAGACGACGACGAUGAACAUGAUGACGGGGAUGGUAUCGGCGGACGCGGGCGACUGCUACAUUUACGGCAGCUCUGUCCGCAACCAGCUAGAGAAGGCGCGCCAGCAGAUCGGAUACUGCCCGCAGCACAACAUCCUAUGGGGCGAGCUGACGUGCCGCGACCACCUGGAGUUCUUUGGGCGUAUUAAGGGGUUGCGCGGGUGGGAGCUGGAGAAUGCCGUGUGCCGGAUGCUGCACGAGACGGACCUGCUGGAGAAGAUGGACCAGCCGGCGAAGAGCCUGUCUGGCGGGCAGAAGCGCAAGCUGUCGAUCGCGGUCGCGUUUGUUGGCGGCAGCCGUCUUGUGUUUCUCGACGAGCCGACUGCCGGGCUGGACGUUGGCGCGCGGCGGCAGACGUGGGAGCUGCUGCGGCGCAUGUCGCAUUCAUGCACGCUGCUGCUGACGACGCACUUCAUGGACGAGGCGGACCUGCUGGGACAGCGAAUCGGGAUCAUGAGCCAGGGGCGACUGAAGUGCUCGGGCAGCAGCCUUUUCCUGAAGUCGCGGCUGGGUGUCGGCUACAACAUCGUCAUUUCCGUUGAUCCCGAGCUAGAUCUCGAUGCUGUGGAUGAAGUGGUGCUUGGAACGGUGGAUGGCGCGGAGCUGCUUGGGCGGAACGGGUGUGAGGUAUCGUACCAGCUACCUGUGCAGAGCGUGAGCCAGUUCCCGGCGCUGCUGAACGAGAUAGACUCCGUGGAGGCGGACGGCAUCCGCGGCUACUCGCUGGCUGCGACGACGCUGGAGGAGGUGUUCUUGAAGGUUUCGGAGGAGGACAUCUCGGGCCGUAGCGAGGCUGCAGCGCAGGAGGGCGUGGAGCUAAUCUGGAACUGCGAGGUGGCGCCGUCAGCGCUAUGGCUGCAGUUCCGUGCGAUGAUCGCGAAGCGGUUCUGGAGCGCGCUGCGGGACCGGAAGAUGCAGUGCUUCCAGAUUGUGUGCCCGGUUGUGUGCAUCCUGAUCGCCAUGCUGCUGAACCUCGUGCGGUACCGAGACCCUCAGUCGCUUACGUACAACUACUCGAUGUUCGCGAACCGACCGACUUCUGUGCUGGACACAUCGUUCUGCGACGCGAUGUGGGGUGGCGCUCCGACGGGCGCGGUGGACUACGAGGUGAACGAGACUCACUUGACGGGUGCGCAGGCGCUGUCGGACUACCUGCUGGAUACGUGGUACGUGCACGACAUGCCGCGCUACGGCGCUGUGUCGUGCAUUGAUCGGAACGUGACGGCGCUGCUGAGAUUUGCGGAUGAGUGGCGCGGCACCAACGUGAACGUGUUCCUGUACAACUCCUCCUCGCACCAUCAGGCUGGGCUGAACCUCGCAACGUACUACGACCUGUUCAUCAAGUCCUUCCUCGGCCGCGACAGCGCGUUCAUGCGGUACAAGGUGGAGCUGUUCAACGAGCCUGCGAGCCAGUCGCAGCUGGGCUUCAUCUUCAUUGGCGCCCUGGUGAUGAUCCCGUUCACGUUCCUGCCGGCGAACCCUGUUGCGUGGGUGGUGAAGGAGCGGCAGUGCGGGUCGCGGCACCUGCAGGACCUGUGCGGGCUGAGCUUCUUCGUGUACUGGACGGCCAACUAUACAUUCGACAUGCUGGCCUACUUUGUCACGACGCUGCUGUGCAUCCUCAUCUUCUGUAUCUUCAGCCGGCAGGAUUUCGUCGGGCCGGACCGUGCUGGCGGCACGUUUAUGCUGCUCAUGGUCUACGGGCUCACGAGCACCGCUGGCGCGUACGCGCUGAGCUUCCUGUUCAAGGAGCACUCGUCUGCGCAGACGAUCGUGAUGGGUGUCGGCUUUGUUGCCGGGUUCCUUCUGUUGAUGCUGGUGUACGUGCUGGCGCUGGAUCCAGGCAACGUGGACACGUCAGACAAGAUGCGGUGGGAAUUCCGGUUGAUCCCGUCGUACUGCAUCGGCGAGGGGCUCAUCGGGCUGCUGAUGCUGGACAGCAAGCUGGCCAUGGGCACCGCAACCAGUGCUUGGGACAUGGACCAGCUUGGGUGGCCGCUGCUGUACAUGGCAGUGGAGCUCCCUGCGUUCUGGCUGAUCGUUCUGUGCGUGGACCACCCGGCGGUGAGGCGGUGCCUGCAGCGGCUGCGCUACAACCGCGACGCGGAGCCAAUCAUCCCGAGCGACGAGGACUCGGACGUGGAGGACGAGCGCGAGGCUGUGUACGAGGCGGGGCAGAUGGGCGACACGACGAGCGACGUUGUGCGAGUGGUGAACCUGCAGAAGCGGUACGGGAACGGUAACAUUGCUGUGAAGGGCAUCACGUUCUCGAUCUUCCCCGGGGAGGUGUUCGGCUUUCUCGGCACGAACGGUGCUGGCAAGACGACGACGAUUUCGAUGCUGUGCCAGCAGUUCCUGCCGACGGGCGGCAGCGCGUACGUGUGCGGGUACGACAUCGUUGAGCAGAGCAAGGAGGCGCUGCAGUGCAUCGGGUACUGCCCGCAGUUCGACGCGACGCUGGACCUGCUCACUGUGGAGGAGCAGCUGGAGCUGUACGCUGGGAUCCGCGGGAUCGUGCGUGCGGAGUGGCCUGCGCUCGUGGACGCGCUGUGCACGCUGUGCGAGCUAACGAUGUACCGCAAGACGGUGACGAGUGCGCUCUCCGGUGGCAACCGGCGCAAGCUGUCUGUGGCGAUAGCGCUGGUGGGCGGUCCGCAGGUGGUCUUCCUGGACGAGCCGUCGGCCGGCAUGGACCCUGUGGCGCGACGCGGGAUGUGGACUGCGAUCCAGCGCGCCGCGGGGCACUGCUCCGUUGUGCUGACGACGCACCACCUGGAGGAGGUGGAGGCGCUCGCGGACAUUGUGGCGAUCAUGGUGCGCGGGUACGUGCGGUGCGUCGGCGACAAGGUGCACCUGAAGAACAAGUUCGGCAGCGCCUUCGAGGUGAGCGUGCGGCUCGCGUCGGCGCAGCACGCGGAGCUCUUUGCGUCGUUCAUGCAGGCGGCGUUCCCCGACGCUGUGCGGAGCGAAGGCGAGGGUCGGCGGCUCGUGUACCAGCUGCCGCGCGAUCGCGGCUUCGGCGACGUGUUCCAGACGUUCCAGGCGAACAAGGAGCAGCUGCACAUCACGGACUACAGCGUGUCGCAGACGUCCAUUGAACAGAUCUUUAUGAAGGUUCGGGCACUUGCGAUGAAUUUACGCUAGGUGGACGUGGCGACUGCGUGAGUACAACUGGCGCGGCUGUACUCGUGGAGGGAACUGUGGUGCAUGCGUAGCUGUCUUUGAAGUGCCGGUGUCGCACCUUCUGGGGCAGGCUGCCGUGUCUCUGACUGCUUUCGUUUUGCAUGUGUGCAUACGCGCUGGAGCGGUGCAUGUCUGCUCAGGCGUCAGAUGGUAUUUGGUGAUACGCCGCGAUACACAAUGGUUCCUGUAGUCUCUGUGGCAGGGAAGCCUAGCGUGGCGUUUGUGUCUUCGUCGUGGCUCGCUGAAGAGAGCGGAGGUGGGUUUAAGCUUCCGUUCGGAUAUUUGAUGGUGCACUGGCCUUGCUCAUGCGUCGCAACCUCUUCGCUGAGCGGAGACAUGCCUUGGGUCAAGUUUGGCGCAGUACGCGUGGAGGCGUGCGCGUGCUUUUGCUUGGCGGUGUCAUGUGUGUUUCUGCUUCCUGUUAUAGUCUUCUUGUGCGCUUGUCGUGUCUGGUAUGGGCGGCGGCGCUGUGCCUCUUGCGAGUUGCGGCAGCGGGUUCUCCGUCUUAUAUGCUGCUGAUUGCACAUUACUUCUUGAUAGUCGCUUCAGUGGUUGGUGCGGCGCCUGUCUUGUAUAUGUACUCCUUGCGCGUUCGGGCAACUUCGCGUGUGCGGAUCGGCUUGCAUGUGCGGGUGUCGCACCUGGGUAGGCCUCUGCCCAGGAGCGCUCCCCUUAGCACCGUCAGACCCUUCCCCACCUAGCUUUCCGCAUCUUACGCUCACAUCCCGCCGCACAGGCCUGCUAACUGGCCCUGCCACCAUGCACAUGGCGUAGAGGGCUUCAUGUGCACAACUUUUUCCGUUUCUCUCUGCUAUCUUUACUGUCGGUGCGUGUUUACAGCGGCGACUGCCGCGCAGGUAAGCACUGUAAGCACGCGCGCGUAUGUGUGUAUUCUCUUUUGUGAGCUGUUUCUGUGUAUGUGUGUGUAUAUAUAUAUAUAUGUAUAUGGAUGUGUGUGUGCGCGCGCGCAUGGACAG
This 7603-nucleotide unclassified non-coding RNA is filed under the name Leishmania donovani. RNAcentral's name for it is "gene:LdHU3.11.1520(CDS-product:ATP-binding_casset te_subfamily_A_member_1_putative)". Lineage: Eukaryota; Euglenozoa; Kinetoplastea; Trypanosomatida; Trypanosomatidae. The record is from RNAcentral.